AAUCAACGCUGGCGGCGUGCCUAACACAUGCAAGUCGAACGCGAAAGGGGACUUCGGUUCCUGAGUAGAGUGGCGUCCGGGUGAGUAACACGUGGGUAAUCUGCCUUCGGGUGGGGAAUAACUCAGGGAAACUUGAGCUAAUACCGCAUAAUGCAGCGGCACCUAAUGGUGAUUAGUUGUUAAAGCGGGGGAGUCGCAAGACCUCGCGCCUGAAGAGGAGCCUGCGGCAGAUUAGCUAGUUGGUAAGGUAAUGGCUUACCAAGGCUUCGAUCUGUAGCUGGUCUGAGAGGACGGCCAGCCACACUGGCACUGACACACGGGCCAGACUCCUACGGGAGGCAGCAGUGGGGAAUUUUGGGCAAUGGGCGAAAGCCUGACCCAGCAACGCCGCGUGAGGGAGGAAAUCCUUCGGGAUGUAAACCUACACAAGCAAGGGAAGAGAGCUACGGGCUGAAUAAUCCCGCAGUGCGACGGUACCUU
This 480-nucleotide ribosomal RNA is filed under the name uncultured bacterium. RNAcentral's name for it is "bacterial SSU rRNA". It matches the Rfam family "Bacterial small subunit ribosomal RNA", at positions 32 to 481 of the family's 1533-position model. The record is from RNAcentral.